This is a long non-coding RNA of Salvelinus fontinalis (brook trout), 800 nucleotides long. RefSeq lists it as uncharacterized. Lineage: Eukaryota; Metazoa; Chordata; Actinopteri; Salmoniformes; Salmonidae. The record is from RefSeq and is a predicted model, not a curated record. The transcript has 2 exons.
ACCAAUCAUAUGGAGUGGUUCCCAUGACGAAUUUGACGCUAUGCGAUCCAAGGCUGGAGACUUUCUUCAACAAAGAUGGCUGACAAAAAUCCUAUGAUAGAAGCAAAUGGACUCCUGAAACAACCAGCAACCCAGGCUGUCGUCUUGUGAAACAGUGGAUGUAAAGAAUCUAGCUAGCUAAAGCAUUUACUGCAAAUUGAAUGUACAAUUUUGUAAGCUUGCCUUGCUGAUAUUUGCCAUGCAAUGCAGAUAGUUGAAAUAACGUAGAUAGCUAUGUUCUUGCUUAUUGUGCAGUGGAGGAUAAAAAUACCUGAAUGCCUAUGGAUUUGUAGCUAGGCAUCUAGCCGAACUGUGUAUGGACCCAAACGUUUGGUAUACAUAUUAGUUCAGAAUCUAGCGAUCAUAAUUUUUUUUAACUAGGCAAGUCUGUUACCAAAAGUAUUGUAUUGACUAUGAGGGACUACCUCGGCCGACGCUGGGCCAAUUGUGGGCCGCCCAAUCAAGAUGGGAUGCAGCCUGGAUUCGAACCAGGUUCUGCAGUGACGCCUCUUGCAGUGUCUUAGACCACUGCGUCACUCUAGAGCCCUUCAUAGCUAGUUGUAUCAACUUCAAAACAGUCUGAAUGACAUAAAUGAAGCCUAUGGGUUGAGUAAAAUAUAUAACUUUGUGCCAAGGAUGCAAGUUGUAUAUACAUGCAGGUAUUACCAUGCAUGAGAUCCCCACAUUGUAGCCCGUACAUUUAAUAUAUUCACUGGUCAUGUACUCUACCAUGGCAAAUAAAGGUGCAGUUCAGGUAUGAA